GUUUUUAUAGCUUAUUAAUUUAGAGCAUGCCAGUGAAGUUGGCAAGGAAAUAUUUAUUUAAAAAUA
RNAcentral lists this transfer RNA (66 nucleotides) under Dryadomorpha sp. EMHAU-2015-Zz060407. Its description in RNAcentral is "tRNA-Phe". The record is from RNAcentral. Lineage: Eukaryota; Metazoa; Arthropoda; Insecta; Hemiptera; Cicadellidae.